Molecule: ribosomal RNA, 174 nt
Filed under: uncultured bacterium
Lineage: Bacteria
Description: partial 16S ribosomal RNA
Rfam family: Bacterial small subunit ribosomal RNA
Source: RNAcentral
CCUAGGGGAGGCAGCAGUAGGGAAUAUUGGGCAAUGGGCGUAAGCCUGACCCAGCGACGCCGCGUGAGGGGUGAAGGUCUUCGGAUUGUAAACCUCUUUCAGUAGGGAAGAAGCGAAAGUGACGGUACCUAAAGAAGAAGCACCGGCUAACUAUGUGCCAGCAGCCGCGGUAAU